This 494-nucleotide ribosomal RNA is filed under the name uncultured bacterium. RNAcentral's name for it is "partial 16S ribosomal RNA". It matches the Rfam family "Bacterial small subunit ribosomal RNA", at positions 28 to 507 of the family's 1533-position model. The record is from RNAcentral.
GACGAACGCUGGCGGCGCGCUUAACACAUGCAAGUCGAACGGAAAGGCCUGCUUUCCCUUGUGGAUUGCGGGUACUCGAGUGGCGAACGGGUGAGUAACACGUGAGUGAUCUGCCCCCAACUUGGGUAUAAGCCUGGGAAACUGGGUCUAAUUCCCGAUAGGACUGCAGGGUGGUGCCUGUGGUGGAAAACGAUUUUCUAGUGGUUGGGGAUGAGCUCGCGGCCUAUCAGCUUGUUGGUGGGGUAAUGGCCUACCAAGGCGGCGACGGGUAGCCGGCCUGGGAGGGUGGACGGCCGCAUUGGGACUGCGAUACGGCCCCGACUCCUACGGGAGGCAGCAGUGGGGAAUAUUGCACAAUGGGCGGAAGCCUGAUGCAGCGACGCCGCGUGGGGGAUGACGGCCUUCGGGUUGUAAACUCCUUUCGACCGCGAGGAAGCCACCUGGUUGGAAGGGUGGUGACGGUAGUGGUAGAAGAAGCACCGGCUAACUACGUG